GAGUUUGAUCCUGGCUCAGGACGAACGCUGGCGGCGUGCUUAACACAUGCAAGUCGAACGGUGAAGCCCUUCGGGGUGGAUCAGUGGCGAACGGGUGAGUAACACGUGAGCAACCUGCCCUUCACUCUGGGAUAACUCCGGGAAACCGGUGCUAAUACCGGAUACGAGUAUCGGCCUCAUGGUCUGGUGCUGGAAAGAAUUUUGGUGAGAGAUGGGCUCGCGGCCUAUCAGCUUGUUGGUGAGGUAAUGGCUCACCAAGGCGACGACGGGUAGCCGGCCUGAGAGGGCGACCGGCCACACUGGGACUGAGACACGGCCCAGACUCCUACGGGAGGCAGCAGUGGGGAAUAUUGCACAAUGGGCGAAAGCCUGAUGCAGCGACGCCGCGUGAGGGAUGACGGCCUUCGGGUUGUAAACCUCUUUCAGCUCCGAAGAAGCGAGAGUGACGGUAGGAGCAGAAGAAGCACCGGCUAACUACGUGCCAGCAGCCGCGGUAAUACGUAGGGUGCAAGCGUUGUCCGGAAUUAUUGGGCGUAAAGAGCUCGUAGGUGGUUCGUCGCGUCUGCUGUGAAAGUCCGAGGCUUAACCUCGGAUCUGCAGUGGGUACGGGCGGACUAGAGUGCGGUAGAGGAGAUGGGAAUUCCUGGUGUAGCGGUGGAAUGCGCAGAUAUCAGGAGGAACACCGGUGGCGAAGGCGCAUCUCUGGGCCGUAACUGACGCUGAGGAGCGAAAGCCAUGGGGAGCGAACAGGCUUAGAUACCCUGGUAGUCCAUGCCGUAAACGUUGGGCGCUAGGUGUGGGGUCCU
RNAcentral lists this ribosomal RNA (806 nucleotides) under uncultured bacterium. Its description in RNAcentral is "bacterial SSU rRNA". It matches the Rfam family "Bacterial small subunit ribosomal RNA", at positions 9 to 831 of the family's 1533-position model. The record is from RNAcentral.